This 68-nucleotide transfer RNA is filed under the name Chioglossa lusitanica. RNAcentral describes it as "tRNA-Asp". Lineage: Eukaryota; Metazoa; Chordata; Amphibia; Caudata; Salamandridae. The record is from RNAcentral.
AAGAUGUUAGUAUAGAAAAACAAGGCCUAGUCAAGGCCAAAUCAUAGGUUAAAACCCUAUACAUCUUA